CCUCGUUCCACGCAUCGGCCAUCCUCGUUUCCUGCAUUGUACACGCCCUUAUCCGCGACCCCGCCGCCAGCCUUAUCCUCCCCUCUGCCGUGUUCCCCUUCUCAUCCUCUUCUUCCUCGAGCACGAGCAGAGCAGAGCCGCCCUCGCCGGCGCCCCGACCAACCUCGGCCGCCGCUCCUCGAUUCCGCUCGCCCACGGCCUCCUCACCUCGCCCUCUGUCUCCCCCGCCCCUCACCGGACUCGAUUGAGCCCAAUCCCGGUCGGAAUCGACCUCGCGCCCCGCCGACCUCCAUUGACGCUGCCGCGAGAAGCUCCGUUGCCGGCCGCGAUUCGUCGUCUCCGGCGCCCCGGCGGAGCUUGCCGUCCGCCGCCGCCUAGCGCCGUCGCGCCGCCUCUCCGCCGCCGUUCCCCGUCCGCGCCGCUGCUGUGACUGAAUCAUCGGAGGUUGAACCCGUGGAGCCCGUCGAGUCCGUUGAGCCCGAGCCUAGAGUCCCGUUCGCGGUCGAUCCCGAAGUUAACCAA
Panicum virgatum (switchgrass) is the source of this 522-nucleotide long non-coding RNA. RefSeq lists it as uncharacterized. The transcript has 3 exons. Lineage: Eukaryota; Viridiplantae; Streptophyta; Magnoliopsida; Poales; Poaceae. The record is from RefSeq and is a predicted model, not a curated record.